CUCCCUACUACAAGUACACCUGUAGCUGAUCCCCACUAUCACAAAUAAUUACAUAGCCUUCCCUGAAAUGAGUGGUUUUGGAGGAGACAGUGAUCUAAUUUCAGGUGCAGAACUAGGAAAUAGAGUGUUCAGCUUGUGCAUGAGUAUGUCAGCUCUCGAAGGAAUCUCAUUCAGAAGAAACUGCUGCACAAUAGGCUUCUUGAACCAUUCCAUGACAGAAUCCCCUGGGGCUCUUAGAACCACCUUGCUAACCUCAAAUGGAGAUUCUACUGAGCUCAACGUCUGAGCAACCACAAUCUUCAGAGUGGGUCCUGUAACCAAUUUGAUGCGUCUUGGAAUGACACCAUAGUACAACAUUCGCUUUCUGAACCUGUGGAGAGUGUGCACAACUGCUAUAAGAGCAGCUCCCACUGACAAGUUCCUAACAUCUAGAGACCAAGCAAUAUGCUGGUCGAACACUAUAGCCUUUGGAAAUAGCUUGUUCUCAUAAGCAACUUUCCAAACACAUCGAGCACGAUUUAUUUGCCCCAUAAGAACAAGGUAAUUGAGCAAAACAUUUACAAAGUACCUCGCAGCACCCUCCUCCAACUCAUAAUCAAGGCCUUGAAAAAACUCCCUCACAAAGGAUAAAACUGGUUGUUUUCUCUGUUCUGGACCAGUGAAUAGCCCACACAUAAAAGUGUGUGCUUUAUGUCUUGUAGCACUAAGGAUUGACAUCAAAUGCCUCUCAUUCUGCUCUUCUUGGCAUCGGACAAGAUGAGCAAGAAUUGAUGUAUAAAGUAUAAGAUCCACUUUAGCAGCAGAGUUCACGUAGGUCUCAAGAAGAGGCUUUGCUGAUUCAUAUAAACCAUUCUUCAUGCAAGACUCAAACAACUGCCUGAUUAUAAAAUUAUUCGUUCUUAUCCCUGAUGAACCCAUGAAAC
This 923-nucleotide unclassified non-coding RNA is filed under the name Hevea brasiliensis (rubber tree). The record is from RNAcentral. Lineage: Eukaryota; Viridiplantae; Streptophyta; Magnoliopsida; Malpighiales; Euphorbiaceae.